This 341-nucleotide unclassified non-coding RNA is filed under the name fungal sp. RNAcentral's name for it is "partial internal transcribed spacer region". The stretch from base 1 to 46 matches the Rfam family "Eukaryotic small subunit ribosomal RNA", at positions 1786 to 1831 of the family's 1831-position model. Lineage: Eukaryota; Fungi. The record is from RNAcentral.
AAGUCGUAACAAGGUUUCCGUAGGUGAACCUGCGGAAGGAUCAUUAACACGUAUCCAACGUUAAACAACCCUGUGAACCUUGAACGUGCUCUCGCACACGCUCUAGCAGCAAUCCCUGGUAAAUCAUUGUUGACCAGCUAUUGAGUCAGGGACUGCUUUAAAACGAUGCGAUACGAGCGCCAGAGUAAGUGCGGCCUAGUAAACGAUCGCUGUAGGCCCACACGGCCGGCGACCGGGCCUCUGUGCUUCGGCACCUAACGACCCCAUGUUUCGUACCCGGUGCGCUGUAACAACCGCACCACAAACUCGAACAACUGUUAACAAUGGAUAUCUUGGUUCUC